Malus domestica (apple) is the source of this 270-nucleotide non-coding RNA. The record is from RefSeq and is a predicted model, not a curated record. NCBI's taxonomy places the organism in Eukaryota, Viridiplantae, Streptophyta, Magnoliopsida, Rosales, Rosaceae.
AAAUGGCCGCAGGUACACACAGGGUUACGAGAAUAACCUCACCUUUCUAACUGUAAAGGGGUCUGGACAUACAGUUCCAGAGUACAAACCACGAGAGGCGUUUGAUUUGUUUAGCCGGUUUUUGGCUGGAAACCACAAUAAGAGAGCGAGAGCGAUGUUGCUAUUUAUUGCUUAUGCUACACAAAUUUUAGAGAGAAUAAAUCAUAUGGUCAGAAAAAGAAAUGUUUGCAUUACUAUUGAAUUAAACUACUUUUACAUUGACUCUGCUAA